UGGCAGGAUAAUUAUUGACCUGAGGAAUAAUAUGGAUUUAUGUGGUUGUGAAAAUAGACUUUGUGUUUGUGAGUGUGAAAAUGUUAGUGUGUGUGUGUGUGCCUGUGUGUGUGCGCGCGCGCACGCGCUGGGACCCCACUUGACAAGUUGACCUUGUCUAGAGGAGCAUAAGUGGAAAAAAACUGUGUAGCCCUGAGACAGUAGGAUGACGUUACGACCAAUGAGAACGGCCUGCAGGGGGCGCAAGGAUUCACUUCUCUCUUGGACACUGACGGGUCUCGACACGCAAAUUCUGCUCCUGGCGUUGGCCGUCAGUGGAAGAGCGUAGCUUCGGUGGGGUUCUGUCUGCCUCUGAUGGGGUGCGGAUGUGUGGUUCGUCACUGGUGAAUGGUGUUCGACGAUGCAGGUGGAUUUUGUGACGAGUGGGUUUAAAAUGAGGGAAUGCUGUGAACGGGAAAAAUGAUGGUGAGUGCCUUUUUCACUCUGUUCAAGUGUUUGUUUUCCUCUGUUGCCCAGCAGUCGUACGAUUUGUCCUGACGUGUCCUGAUAUGCCCCGAUAUGCAUGCUUUCCUUUGUUGACGCUUAGUAUUUUUUUCUUUUUUGACAAGGAACAUUGUCGUCUUGACGAUAGUGCUGCCCCGAGUUCUGCGCGCGUUGAUUUGUUGAGUGCCUAGUCCUCUUAUUAGCCAUUGAUGGAGUUACAUGUUAGGAUGUUUUGUUCUUUUGCAAGUCUCAUUUAGUAAGACUUUGGAAUUCCUACGAUCAGUUUUCAUGCAUGGUGCUCUUCUGCAAUAGUUUCCUAUGCAAUCGUUAUAGAAGAAUAAAGGAAAUAAUCUUGGGAUAGUGAUUCAAUAAAUAAUAGGUCCCCUGUCUAGAGCGCACGCGUCCUUGAGCCACGCAGGUGCAUGAUGACGUCAUACCGUGGCUUCACUGCUGAUUGACCAAAGGAGCAUUAGUGGAAAAAAACAGUGUAGCCCUGAGACAAUAGGAUGAUGUCUGGACCAAUGAGAACUGCCAGCAGGGGGCGCAGGAAUGCUCUUCUCACUUAGCCUCACGACCAAUGAGAACGGCCAGCAGGGGGCGCAGGAAUGCUCUUCUCUCUUAGCCUCUCGCAGGUGGCGGUAGGAGCGCGCAGAGGGCGCUGCGAGCGCGCUCAUGCGUAGCACCCGUAGAGUGGCGCUUACGUCAGUCCACCUCUCGCUCUCGUUGGGAGAAGACGUGCGGUCGUUCGCUCCGUCGUCACUUGAUCCCUGGCUGUCGACGAGAGCAGUCGCAUCGGUCUGCGCUCCUACUGUGGUGAGGUGAUUUGUUGUGUAACUAAUGAUUUCGCCAACUUUGUUCCCGCUUUGUUUGCGAUUUUCGUGCCCGUGCACGUCGGGUGCUGGUUGCUGUUGUCCGGGCAUUCCCACCAUUUUCUAUCAUCUUCUGCCUUGGGACCGGGAGUAGCGCUGGCGUGAUUCUUAAUACUUUUGUUGUGAGAUUAGUUGAGAAAGUAACCGCUAGGGGGUGCAGCUGCGGGGUUUAUACAGGACAAAAACCCUUACGAGUCAGUUUCUGCCUGCCUCUCGGAUGGAGCAGUCGCAUGGUUCUGCGCUCCUGUUCUGGUGGGCUCAUUUGUUGUGUAACUAAUUGUUUUUUCUUGUUAGCUAUUGAUGGUUUGCAUACUCUUGCUUUCCCAGCCUCUGUAUUACGAGUGUUUUUCUCCUUGCAUGUCCAGAGCUGUCCUAACUUGCCCAGACAUGCCAUGAUGACGUCACAGCUGACGUCACAGGAUGUGCGGAACUGGUGCUGCGAUGCUUUGCAACCUGCCUCUGUGCUCCGUCGCCCAGCGACGGUCAGCGGCCGUUCCGGGCCGCUUUCUUCAAGAUGACGUCGUUGAUCUUCAACUAAACUCCUUCUCUCCACUCUAUCUCUAUCUUUUUAUUUUAUUUUCUACCUAUUUUUUAUUUUUUAUCAGCUCAACUAGCCCACAACUCACACAGUGGUCUGGACACGUCCUAGAUGCGCCCCAAUUAGUGUAAUGACUCCCUGAAUGAUCCUGAUUAAUGUGGGGGGUCCCAAUUAGCUCUAAUUGCUCAUUAAUGGCGUCCAGACGAAGAUGUGAGUUGUGGGCCAGUUGAGCUGAUCCCAUACUACUUGCCAUAUGGGACAUCGACGACGUCAGAAAUGUCCUGAACGGUUCUUUUACGGUCUUCAUGCAAAAGUUUCCCUAUCACAUCGGCAUUUGCGGGGUCUGUGUUCCCUUAUGGCCUCCGUGACCUGCCUUGUGUUUCCGACGAUGUUCUGCCUUUCUUGAGCGCGAGCGUUGCAAGACUCACUGUCUCAUUGCCAUAAGCAUGCUAGAUCAUCUCAAAUGUCUCUGUUGUAGAUUUGCCGAGUUUGACGUAGAAUUUGAUGUUUGCUAUCUGCUUUAGUUCGCAACUCAUAUUGAAGUCGCUACGCCUCCUGUGCACGUGAUCACAAAAACGUAGUGUGUAGUACAGCACUAGCGUAGUCAGAGGGGGUUUUGGGUGUUCAACCCCUCCCGAAAUGAUACCUUUGGCUGUGCAUUUGGGGAGGAAAACUAGGGGAAAUCCUGCUCUCCAAUAUAAAGACCAUAGAACCCCUCCCGAAAUAUUUUUCUGGCUACGCCGCUGUAGAACAGCAACAAAUAUUCAAAAAUGGAUGCCACUCGGCAUGAGAACAAACGAAAGUCAUUGACGUCAACAAGUGUGCUCUCAUCCCAGUGGUGCCAUCUCUCGUCGUUAUACUGAGCUGGCCUCGGAACUUUUUGAUCGCACCUUAUCUAUGAUGGGUGAAGCUUGGGCAACGAAGAGCCUCAGCUUCGACGUCUCGUCUGUGUUUUGUUUCUUCAAUUCCCUCACCGUUCUGUGUUCUGAUUGCUGAACGCGGAAGCCUUACGCCUUCUCUCUACCACUUUAGAACUUCACCGCGUGUUACAAAAGUGGCUUAAACCACAUGACAGAGCGACAGCGUUCUCAAUCCUAGUCGGUCUUGUGCGUUUUAGGACAUGCUAGUACUAUGAGGAAGUAGCAACACGAGGAGAGGUUAGGCAGACAAGCGCCAAGAAUAUUAGUUUCUAUGUGUGAACUAUUCAUGACCUCUGAACAGGUUAGUUGCUGGCGUUUAUUGUCGAGCGAUUUGUCUCAUGGUAUGUUGCUCAUGGGGAAGGGAUAAUGCGUCCUGGACUGACUUCACAGGAGAAUGUGCAACCAUUUGUCUUAAAGUGUCUGAGGAAAAUCCAAGGAACACGUUCAGACAGCACAGCGUAUGCCGGGAUAACAACGCUUGUCACCUCUCGGUUUCAGCAGGUCAGACGAUCAUCGUAUAGCCACCAGGUCACCGAAGGUCGUGAGGGCAGCGAGGACCACCUGCACUCAGUACCGAACCACUCUGAGUACUGGUGGCAUUUUCUUGAGGCUAUCGGCCAUACUAUGCUGAAUAAUCAGGUCCUCGCCAGAUCUGAAAUGGACCGGUCUGCGCUGCCGUACACGGUUGACCCUCAGUGACGCUUCCAAGUGUAUCCGUCGUUUCCCUGGGGAAGUGCGUCUUUUCCACAUGGGCUACGAGUGAAUGUACUGUUCAGCGGUCGAUUACUCUAUAAACUGCCCAAGUCUUCUACCAACUACAGCAAGUGUGAAGUCGUAGAGAAUACAGAGCAGUACGGCGGUAUUGUCGAUAGUUGAAACGUACUAGGAGCAAGCCUGGCUUGUAUGGACGCCCAAAUCUUCGACACCGUAAGGAUUCUGAGUCGUCAGCCAUCGCAUCAUAAGCGCCUGCUUUGGAAGCACACCAAUGUUUCCUUGACGAAAUCCAGGUAAUCGGUAUUCUGUGACUUUUCGUACUGAAGUGCAUCUAAUAACGCGACAGGUGCUCGUCGAGUGAACUGUGGCUUAUCCUGCCAACCGCCAGUUCGUUUCCUGUUUUCUCCUUUGUGUGUGCAUUUUUUUACCCAAAUCUAUAUAUAGAUGCUGUGCUCUAGGGUAUUGUAGUAUAGAUAUACUGGGGUAGCCAGACCGACCUUGUCGUCUUGUUUCUCUUCUGUCUUUCUCUCUACCGUCGUCAUUAUCAUAGACCAGCAAUAUUGCAUUUAUAAGUCUGAAAUCAGUGCGAUCAAAAGAGAGUAAGCACGAACAUUUUUUUUUUGUGGACCACGAAUAUUUUAUAAAGUAACAUACUAACAAGUAAAGCGAACCUCCACGCGAAAGCUGGCGCAUGACCUCAUACUUGUACAAGACGCGUUUCUUCCCAAUCUCGCUUCUGCCUUUCUCAUUACAUGAACACUCCAAAAAUGACACCUUCAAGGUAAAGCCACUACACGUAUACUUACAGCGUUCGUCCAUGUUUAAAUGUGGCUGCACCUCACACGUGGUCAUAUGUAUCUGCAGCUGGGUCAACGUCUCUGCUGGAGGACUGUUCCAUGAAUCUACGUCUGGCUGGCACCGUUGGCUUGGACAGUCUGGUAGGAAGAAGAGUUGUCUGUACCUCUUAAGCGCCUCCGCUAGUAUGUCGCAUUUUGAGACUUCGCUUGCCAGCCGAAACUUGAAGGUCGAAGAGUCAAUGAUAUAUUGACGAGCUGACGUCUUCAGGACCUGGGGCUUCGGCCAGACUGUUCCAGAGGAAGGGUCCUGCACAUGAAGUGGCUAUUCAGCGACGAACCUCAGGACCGCAACAAACGUCUACAUGCAGAAUACUCCGAUAGAACCUAAGAGCUGUAUUCACAGAGGUAUAUCUCCGUCUAGCCGGCAAUGUAGAGCACACAUUGUGAGGAGGAGCAUAACACGAGGAAGCAGACCCACGUGCUUCGUUGACGCGAAUAGUUUUACGUGUUUACUUUUAAUGCGUGCAAACGGGCUUGUUUUCGGAAGUCUUUUCCGGCGAGUGUUCUCCUCGCACAGAUAAACUAUGUAUUGUGUAGAAAAUAUUUGAA
This is a long non-coding RNA of Ornithodoros turicata, 4930 nucleotides long. RefSeq lists it as uncharacterized. The transcript is spliced from 3 exons. The record is from RefSeq and is a predicted model, not a curated record. Lineage: Eukaryota; Metazoa; Arthropoda; Arachnida; Ixodida; Argasidae.